This 563-nucleotide small RNA is filed under the name Pongo abelii (Sumatran orangutan). Its description in RNAcentral is "retained intron". The record is from RNAcentral. Lineage: Eukaryota; Metazoa; Chordata; Mammalia; Primates; Hominidae.
CCUGGAAAUGGUUGAGACUACCCUGCCACGAUUUUGCUCCCGCUCCCGCCUAGGUUCACGUUUACCUCCGAACCGCAUGCACAACUGGAGGAGAACUUCUGCCGGAACCCAGAUGGGGAUAGCCAUGGGCCCUGGUGCUACACGAUGGACCCAAGAACCCCAUUCGACUACUGUGCCCUGCGACGCUGCGCUGAUGACCAGCCGCCAUCAAUCCUGGACCCCCCAGACCAGGUGCAGUUUGAGAAGUGUGGCAAGAGGGUGGAUCGGCUGGAUCAGCGUCGUUCCAAGCUGCGCGUGGUUGGGGGCCAUCCAGGCAACUCACCCUGGACAGUCAGCUUGCGGAAUCGGCAAACUAACAAGUGAGCCUUGGGGCAACGGACUGAGUCACAAAUGACCUAGCAGAGCUUCUCUCCCAGCCAUAUGCCUCUCACAGGCUAUGAGGUAUGGUUGGGCACCCUGUUCCAGAAUCCACAGCACGGAGAACCAGGCCUACAGCGGGUCCCAGUAGCCAAGAUGGUGUGUGGGCCCUCAGGCUCCCAGCUUGUCCUGCUCAAGCUGGAGAG